UGGGCAGUAUCUUUAUUGGAAGAACUACACUAAAAAUUGUUUAUUAUUUUUUAUAUCUUUGCCUGUAUCCACUUAACUGGAACAGGACAAAACU
The sequence is a regulatory RNA element, 94 nucleotides long. It matches the Rfam family "pan motif". The record is from Rfam.